Molecule: ribosomal RNA, 510 nt
Filed under: uncultured bacterium
Lineage: Bacteria
Description: partial 16S ribosomal RNA
Rfam family: Bacterial small subunit ribosomal RNA
Source: RNAcentral
GACGAACGCUGGCGGCGUGCUUAACACAUGCAAGUCGAACGAAGAGCGAUGGAGGCUUGCUUCUAUCAAUCUUAGUGGCGAACGGGUGAGUAACGCGUAAUCAACCUGCCCUUCAGAGGGGGACAACAGUUGGAAACGACUGCUAAUACCGCAUACGAUCUAAUCUCGGCAUCGAGGAUAGAUGAAAGGUGGCCUCUACAUGUAAGCUAUCACUGAAGGAGGGGAUUGCGUCUGAUUAGCUAGUUGGAGGGGUAACGGCCCAACAAGGCGAUGAUCAGUAGCCGGUUCGAGGAGAUGGACGGCCACAUUGGGACUGAAACACGGCCCAGACUCCUACGGGAGGCAGCAGUGGGGAAACUUCCGAAAUGGAGGAAAAGCUGACGGAGCAACGCCGCGGGAGGGAUGACGGCCGUCGGGUUGGAAAGCUCUGUUAAUCGGGACGAAAGGCCUUCUUGCGAAUAGUGAGAAGGAUUGACGGUACCGGAAUAGAAAGCCACGGCUAACUACGUG